This 404-nucleotide ribosomal RNA is filed under the name Anopheles malefactor. Its description in RNAcentral is "eukaryotic LSU rRNA". The stretch from base 1 to 90 matches the Rfam family "5.8S ribosomal RNA", at positions 66 to 154 of the family's 154-position model. The record is from RNAcentral. Lineage: Eukaryota; Metazoa; Arthropoda; Insecta; Diptera; Culicidae.
UGUGAAACUGCAGGACACAUGAACAUCGAUAAGUUGAACGCAUAUUGCGCAUCGAGAGUUAAUGCUCGAUGCACAUAUCUUUGAGAGUCCAUAGUUGCAUACAUUAAACUACGUGCGCUUGCUUGAUGAGCACACGUGCCGGUUGGGGUGGACGUCGCAAGGCGGUUAUCCUGAAAACCUUCGAGAGUGUUCACCGUUCCUAUGGGUACUCGUUACCAGUGGGCAGCGGUGGCCAGCACCUCACCUCUUUCCAAUGAGCGUAGAGAAGUGCUCGGUCGCAUGCGCUGCUCACGACGGGACCCUGGAACGGAGAUCCCCUUCUUCGAACUUCUUGCUUCUAAGCGCUCCUUCGGUGGAGUACAUGGACCUCAAAUGAUGUGUGACUACCCCCUAAAUUUAAGCAU